GGGAUCAAUACCAACCAUCCGGGAGCAGGCCAGUGAGGACACAUCCAAUUUUGAAGCUACUGUCCCUGGCAGCCCUGCACUACAAUGAAAACGCUGAGCGUGCACAACCCACUACAUCCCCUGGAAACCCUCUGUAUAAACUGCAGUUCCCAAAGGCCAGGAAGGGAGAAUGCAGAGCAAAACCAGUAAAGACUGACCCCACAUUCCGCUACGUGGCCAACUUGAUGGACCUCAUCUUCGACCAAGUCUUUGUGGACCC
Long non-coding RNA from Gymnodraco acuticeps, 259 nucleotides. RefSeq lists it as uncharacterized. Lineage: Eukaryota; Metazoa; Chordata; Actinopteri; Perciformes; Bathydraconidae. The record is from RefSeq and is a predicted model, not a curated record. The transcript has 3 exons.